RNAcentral lists this ribosomal RNA (440 nucleotides) under uncultured bacterium. RNAcentral describes it as "partial 16S ribosomal RNA". It matches the Rfam family "Bacterial small subunit ribosomal RNA", at positions 338 to 795 of the family's 1533-position model. The record is from RNAcentral.
CCUACGGGAGGCUGCAGUAGGGAAUAUUGCUCAAUGGGGGAAACCCUGAAGCAGCAACGCCGCGUGGAGGAUGAAGGUUUUCGGAUUGUAAACUCCUUUUGUUAGAGAAGAAAAUGACGGUAUCUAACGAAUAAGCACCGGCUAACUCCGUGCCAGCAGCCGCGGUAAUACGGAGGGUGCAAGCGUUACUCGGAAUCACUGGGCGUAAAGAGGGCGUAGGCGGGAUAGCAAGUCAGAUGUGUAAUCCUAUGGCUUAACCAUAGAAUUGCAUUUGAAACUGUUAUUCUAGAGUAUGGGAGAGGUAGGUGGAAUUCUUGGUGUAGGGGUAAAAUCCGUAGAGAUCACGAGGAAUACUCAUUGCGAAGGCGACCUGCUAGAACAUAACUGACGCUGAUGCGCGAAAGCGUGGGGAGCAAACAGGACUAGAUACCCCAGUAGUC